This 1368-nucleotide long non-coding RNA is filed under the name Oreochromis niloticus (Nile tilapia). Its description in RNAcentral is "lncRNA (ENSONIG00000039345.1)". Lineage: Eukaryota; Metazoa; Chordata; Actinopteri; Cichliformes; Cichlidae. The record is from RNAcentral.
AUGUCUUGUCUUCCCGCAGUAGGUGCUGUAGUCACUGCUCCUGCUCUUCUGGAAGCUGCAGGUUUCACCUCAGCUGGAAUAGCUGCAGGCUCCUACGCUGCAGGCAUGCUGCAGCUGCUAAUGGAGGUGUGGCAGCUGGAAGUGUGGUGGCUAUUUUGCAGUCAGCAGCUGCAGCUGGUCUGUCAGCUACUGCUGGUGCUGCUGUGGCUGGUGCUGGAGCAGCAGUGGGAUGGUUGGCGAGUUUCAUCAGCUGAAAAUCAUGAACAAUUUAUAUAUUUGCUUUAUGCCGAAACUGGAAAACUUGUUAUUCUGCUCAAGCUUGUUUUCAUCAUUGUGUUGUGUUUUCAUUAUGUUCAUUAUGAUGCAUUUAUAUUAAAAAUAAGUAUUAUGGUGCACAGCUUUAAACCUCAUGUGUAUCAUUAGUACAGCUAACUGUGUUAGCUGUACUAAUGAUACACAAUGUUAUUACAAUGUCCUUGUAAUACACGGUUACAAGGACAAGACAUGGUUUUGUGUACAAGUUUUUAAAGAUGGACGACUGAUAGUCAGGUUUAAGGGUGCAGUCAGAACUGAACACAACUGGCAUCUCUUUAGUUUUUCUCUCUUUUGGUUUACAGUUAAAAGGAAGACUGGCUAUUUUAAUGUGACCUCACAGAUUAUCUUCAUCAUAUUACAUGAUUCCUGGGAGACCAAGAUAAUGAAAAAAAAAUAUUAGUUGCUGCUACUGCUAACCCUCAACAUCCAAGUAGAUGCACCGAUAGUAUCAAUUUUAAAAUCCUACUUCACCUUGUUCUUGAGUUAUCAGGACACAUGGGUGUCUGUCAAUGACCUUGACAAAGUUGAAGGCAGGCUGCUGUCCCUGCUUGAAUGCUUGAGUCCUGAAGACAUGGUAAUGGUGACGGGGAUCUCUAGUUCAGACUAAAGGAGAAAAAAAAUGUUCCUGCCAUUUUAAGACUCCCACAAUUUAAUAAAGAUAUUCUUUUGAAUAUUUACUUAUAUAUUGCAUAUUUAUUUGACUUAUAUUUGCAUAAGUAAUUUGUUAACAAUUUUUCUUAUCUGGCCUCUGCACUCAUACAGUAUGUAUCUUAUCUCACUAAUUUUUUGUACUUCUUGCUUGUUGGUAAGGUGCUUUUAAUGCAUUGUCUGUACUUGUGUGGGGACUUGUUAUAAAUCAGUUUUCAACCUUAAAUCUUUCUCUGCCUAUAAGACCUUAAUGAAAAUGACUGAAUUUUCCUUGUAUUCAGUGAGCAGUGAGUUACCAAUACUGCCAUUUAAUUUUGUCUUCUGCUCUUGUGUCUGGUGUGAUAACUCUUGUAUAAUUUGCAGAGUGUGGCAUGGUGGAAAAGAACUGAGAGAAUCCUCCACUAA